UUAAGCUACUAAGAGCAUAGGGAGAAUGCCUAGGUACCAAAAGCCGAAGAAAGACGUGAUAAGCUGCGAAAAGCCACGGGGAGAAGCAAAUAUUCAAUAAUCCGUGGAUGUCUGAAUGAGGAAACUCUAACCAAGAAAAAAGUUGGUUAAUCCAUACAUGAGUAAAGUAGUGUAUAGGAGGGGAACGUGGGGAACUGAAACAUCUAAGUACCCACAGGAAAAGAAAGAAAACUCGAUUCCUAAAGUAGUGGCGAGCGAAAUAGGAAGAGCCCAAACCAGAAGAAGAAAUUCAUCUGGGGUUCGGACUACAUAAUUGAUUCAAUGAGUUUAGUAAAAUUGUUUGGGAAAGCAAACCAAAGACGGUGAAAGUCCAGUAUACGAAAAACAAGUUGACAAGGUAGAAUCCAGAGUAGUGCGAGACACGUGAAAUCUCGUAUGAAAGAGCGGGGACCACCCCGUAAGGCUAAAUACUAAUUGGUAACCGAUAGUGAAGAAGUACCGUGAGGGAAAGUUGAAAAGAACCCCGGGAGGGGAGUGAAAUAGAACCUGAAACCCUAUGUUUACAAGCAGACAAAGCACGUUAAGGUGCGAUGUCGUACUUUUUGUAGAACGGUCCGGCGAGUUAUUUUAUAUGGCAAGGUUAAGUACUAAAGGUACGGAGCCGAAGAGAAAUCGAGUCUGAAGAGGGCGAAUAAGUCAUAUGAAAUAGACCCGAAACCGAGUGACCUAUCCAUGUCCAGGCUGAAGCUUGAGUAAAAUCAAGUGGAGGGCCGAACUCAUAGACGUUAAAAAGUCUCGGGAUGAGGUGUGGAUAGCGGAGAAAUUCCAAUCGAACUCGGAGAUAGCUGGUUCUCCUCGAAAUAGCUUUAGGGCUAGCCUCGAGCUGGAGUCUAACGGAGGUAAAGCACUGAACUGACGCGGGGCCCAAAAAGGUUACCAACUCAUAUCAAACUAAGAAUGCCGUCAAGAUACCCUCGGGAGUCAGUCUGCGUGAGAUAAGUCGCGUGGACAAAAGGGAAAGAGCCCAGACCGACAGCUAAGGUCCCAAAGUACGUGUUAAGUGGAAAAGGAUGUGGGAUUUCAUAGACAACUAGGAUGUUGGCUUAGAAGCAGCCAUACAUUUAAAGAGUGCGUAAUAGCUCACUAGUCGAGAAAACCUGCGCCGAAAAUGUAACGGGGCUAAAACACGACACCGAAGCUACGGAUUCCUUACAAAGUAAGGAGUGGUAGAGGAGCAUCCUGCAAGGACGAAGCCAAAGUGAGAGCGAUGGUGGACGAAACAGGAGAGAGAAUGCCGGAAUGAGUAGCGAGAUACAUGUGAGAAACAUGUAGGCCGAAUAUCUAAGGAUUCCUGGGUAAAGCUAAUCUUCCCAGGGUUAGUCGGGGCCUAAGGCGAGGACGAAAGUCGUAGUCGAUGGAUAACAGGUUGAUAUUCCUGUACUACACAUAAUCAGAACUGUGGGGACGCAGGAGGAUAGGGAAACCGGGGAAUGGAAAGACCCGGUCAAGCGUAAAGCUGUGGGAGAUAGGCAAAUCCGUCUCUUGUAAGUGAAACGUGAUGAGGACUGAAAAAAAGUAAGGAAGUUUCCGAAUCCACACUGCCGAGAAAAGCCGCUAUUGCGUUAUGUGUACCCGUACCGUAAACCGACACAGGUAGAUGAGGAGAAAAUCCACAGGCCGACGGGAGAAGUGUUGUUAAGGAACUCGGCAAAAUGACCCCGUAACUUCGGGAUAAGGGGAGCCUCGCAAGAGGCCGCAGAAAAGAGGCACAAGCAACUGUUUAGCAAAAACAUAGGUCUAUGCGAAACCGUAAGGUGAAGUAUAUGGGCUGACGCCUGCCCGGUGCUGGAAGGUUAAGAGGAGAGGUUAGCGCAAGCGAAGCUUUGAAUUUAAGCCCCAGUAAACGGCGGCCGUAACUAUAACGGUCCUAAGGUAGCGAAAUUCCUUGUCGGGUAAGUUCCGACCCGCACGAAAGGCGUAAUGAUUUGAGCGCUGUCUCGACAAUGCACCCGGUGAAAUUGAAGUACCAGUGAAGAUGCUGGUUACCCGCGCCAGGACGGAAAGACCCCAUGGAGCUUUACUCCAGUUUGGUACUGGGAUUCGGUACUGCAUGUACAGGAUAGGUGGGAGACUGAGAAAUUGGAACGCCAGUUUCAAUGGAGUCACUGUUGGGAUACCACCCCUGCAGUAUUGGGUUUCUAACCAGCCGCUGUGAUCCAGCGGUGGGACAAUGCCAGGCGGGGAGUUUGACUGGGGCGGUCGCCUCCGAAAGGGUAUCGGAGGCGC
This 2286-nucleotide ribosomal RNA is filed under the name human metagenome. RNAcentral describes it as "bacterial LSU rRNA". It matches the Rfam family "Bacterial large subunit ribosomal RNA", at positions 3 to 2309 of the family's 2925-position model. The record is from RNAcentral.